RNAcentral lists this ribosomal RNA (1378 nucleotides) under uncultured bacterium. RNAcentral describes it as "bacterial SSU rRNA". It matches the Rfam family "Bacterial small subunit ribosomal RNA". The record is from RNAcentral.
AGAGUUUGAUCCUGGCUCAGGAUGAACGCUGGCGGCGUGCUUAACACAUGCAAGUCGAACGGACUUUUGAUGAAACCUAGUGAUUCAAAAGUUAGUGGCGGACGGGUGAGUAACGCGUGGGUAACCUGCCUCGUACAGGGGGAUAACACUUAGAAAUAGGUGCUAAUACCGCAUAAGCGCACAGCUUCGCAUGAAGCAGUGUGAAAAACUCCGGUGGUACGAGAUGGACCCGCGUCUGAUUAGCUAGUUGGUGAGGUAACAGCCCACCAAGGCGACGAUCAGUAGCCGGCCUGAGAGGGUGAACGGCCACAUUGGGACUGAGACACGGCCCAAACUCCUACGGGAGGCAGCAGUGGGGAAUAUUGCACAAUGGGGGAAACCCUGAUGCAGCAACGCCGCGUGAGUGAAGAAGUAUUUCGGUAUGUAAAGCUCUAUCAGCAGGAAAGAAAAUGACGGUACCUGACUAAGAAGCCCCGGCUAACUACGUGCCAGCAGCCGCGGUAAUACGUAGGGGGCAAGCGUUAUCCGGAUUUACUGGGUGUAAAGGGAGCGUAGACGGUAUGGCAAGUCUGAAGUGAAAGCCCAGGGCUCAACCCUGGGACUGCUUUGGAAACUGUCGCACUAGAGUGCAGGAGAGGUAAGUGGAAUUCCUAGUGUAGCGGUGAAAUGCGUAGAUAUUAGGAGGAACACCAGUGGCGAAGGCGGCUUACUGGACUGUAACUGACGUUGAGGCUCGAAAGCGUGGGGAGCAACAGGAUUAGAUACCCUGGUAGUCCACGCCGUAAACGAUGAUUACUAGGUGUUGGUGGGUAUGACCCAUCGGUGCCGCAGCAAACGCAAUAAGUAAUCCACCUGGGGAGUACGUUCGCAAGAAUGAAACUCAAAGGAAUUGACGGGGACCCGCACAAGCGGUGGAGCAUGUGGUUUAAUUCGAAGCAACGCGAAGAACCUUACCUGGUCUUGACAUCCCGAUGACCGCUCUGUAAUGAGAGCUUUUCUUCGGAACAUUGGAGACAGGUGGUGCAUGGUUGUCGUCAGCUCGUGUCGUGAGAUGUUGGGUUAAGUCCCGCAACGAGCGCAACCCCUAUCUUUAGUAGCCAGCAUUUAAGGUGGGCACUCUAGAGAGACUGCCGGGGAUAACCCGGAGGAAGGUGGGGAUGACGUCAAAUCUUCAUGCCCCUUAUGACCAGGGCUACACACGUGCUACAAUGGCGUAAACAAAGGGAAGCGGAGUCGUGAGGCCGAGCAAAUCCCAAAAAUAACGUCUCAGUUCGGAUUGUAGUCUGCAACUCGACUACAUGAAGCUGGAAUCGCUAGUAAUCGCGAAUCAGAAUGUCGCGGUGAAUACGUUCCCGGGUCAUUGUACACACCGCCCGUC